CCUACUGGAGACAUCAUUGGGGUAUCUUGCACAAUGGGGGAAACCCUGAUGCAGCGACGCCGCGUGUGGUCCUCCUUUCCUCUUUCUUUUCCCCCCCUUUCCCCCUUUCCCCCGAUGACUGUACCUGGGGAGGAAGCUCCGGCUAACUACGUGCCAGCAGCCGCGGUAAUACGUAGGGAGCGAGCGUUGUCCGGAAUUACUGGGUGUAAAGGGAGCGUAGGCGGGGAUGCAAGUUGGGUGUAAAAACUACCGGCUCAACUGGUAGUCGCACUCAAAACUGCAGCUCUUGAGUGAAGUAGAGGCAGGCGGAAUUCGUAGUGUAGCGGUGAAAUGCGUAGAUAUUAGGAGGAACACCAGUGGCGAAGGCGGCCUGCUGGGCUUUUACUGACGCUGAGGCUCGAAAGUGUGGGGAGCGAACAGGAUUAGAGAAAAGGGUAGUC
Molecule: ribosomal RNA, 440 nt
Filed under: uncultured bacterium
Lineage: Bacteria
Description: partial 16S ribosomal RNA
Rfam family: Bacterial small subunit ribosomal RNA
Source: RNAcentral